Molecule: ribosomal RNA, 443 nt
Filed under: uncultured bacterium
Lineage: Bacteria
Description: partial 16S ribosomal RNA
Rfam family: Bacterial small subunit ribosomal RNA
Source: RNAcentral
CCUACGGGCGGCAGCAGUGGGGAAUAUUGGGCAAUGGGCGCAAGCCUGACCCAGCAACGCCGCGUGAAGGAAGAAGGCUUUCGGGUUGUAAACUUCUUUUCUCAGGGACGAAGCAAGUGACGGUACCUGAGGAAUAAGCCACUGCUAACUACGUGCCAGCCGCCGCGGUAAUAAGUAGGGGGCAAGCGUUAUGCGGAUUUACUGGGUGUAAAGGGCGUGUAGGCGGUGACGCAAGUCAGAUGUGAAAACCACGGGCUCAACCUGUGGCCUGCAUUUGAAACUGUGUUUCUAGAGUACUGGAGAGGCAGACGGAAUUCCUAGUGUAGCGGUGAAAUGCGUAGAUAUUAGGAGGAACACCAGUGGCGAAGGCGGUCUGCUGGACAGCAACUGACGCUGAGGCGCGAAAGCGUGGGGAGCAAACAGGAUUAGAUACCCUUGUAGUC